This is an RNA transcript of Hordeum vulgare subsp. vulgare (domesticated barley), 2303 nucleotides long. RefSeq lists it as uncharacterized. The transcript has 11 exons. Lineage: Eukaryota; Viridiplantae; Streptophyta; Magnoliopsida; Poales; Poaceae. The record is from RefSeq and is a predicted model, not a curated record.
UCCGACUCCGUUAGGGUUUUGGCUGCCGAGCGCCGACGCCGCCUCCGACCUGCCCUCCCCCUCCGACCCGGUGGUUUUGGCCGCCCACGCUGCGCGCCGACCUGCUCUCCACCUCCGACAGCGUCUCGGCCGGUCUUACCCCUCCACCCCCUCCGUCUUGGUGGACGACGGCGCCGCCGCUGCCGCCGCUGAAGCUGCGCUACGGACCUCCCCCCUCUGCCGCUCACGUCCCCGCGCCCUGCGCCCCGACGGUGGCGUGAUCUGGAGGCGCCGCUCAUCGGCGACGGCAAGGGUAAGCCCGCCCCUUCAUCCAAAGUGGUUGAGAAAUCCUCCGAGAAGUCCACCGCUCUCCAGCAGAUUAGAUCCACUCCCGUCCCAGUUUAUAACCUCCUCGUAGGCCUCCAGGAGGAAGGAGCGGCUCCAGUGACAGCAGGUGCAGCCGCAGGAAGGAAGAAACUGGUUCCGUGUGUUUUUCCUGGAAGGGGCUGCAGACCACCAUUUCGGCGAGGAAGGUUGGAUUCAUCCUGUUCUUUAUUACCCAGUCCUCCAGGAAAGGCACUACUACGCAUUACCCAGUCCUCCCAAGAAAAAUGGCACCAGCCCUUGUGCGUGAAGAACUUAUUCCUUGGGAGUUAAACAAAUUUAAGUUAGCUUCAUUACGUAAUGGCGAUGUAGUUGCUCGUUAUCAAAUCAAUAGGCCUUCAGAUCUCGUUGCAAUUGCUCAGUUAUCACGAGAGCAUAGGCCUCUAGUCUGUUUGGAUCUAAAAGAAUCAGAAAAUGUGCUUAAGACAAAUAUUAUGAAUCUGAGGCAUCGGAAUAUCUUAAGAGUUGAAGUUAUACAAGAAUUGCAGCUACCUGUCUUGAACCCGAAGAAUAUUGCUGUUGUUGUGGAGCCUCAUGAGGGACCUCUUACUUUGUUUUUGUCCAAAUUGCCUCUGACCGAGAAAGGCAGUAAUGCUGUCCCAUCACAGUCUCUUAGAGAUGUUAUAAGACAAAUUGUGGAGGCUCUUGAAGAGCUCAGGGUUAAUGGAGUCUAUCAUGGAGAUCUUACAAUACAUAAUAUGUACCAUUCAAAAGUUGGGGGUGCUGUUGUAGUGAAAUUAGUCAAUUUUCAAAACAGAGCUAUUGAUUUGGAGACUGCACAGUUAAUGGACUGGGUUGAGCUUGGUCAUAUUCUUCUUCUUAUUUCAGAGUCAGCAAAGUUGAACGAUAAUACUGCCUCAUGUUCCAUAAUUGACCGCCUGGCAUCGAAAUUGAUAGCAUUAGUAAACACUGACUGUCUUUCAAGAAUAAAAGAGGCUACUCUUGAUGAUAUGUUUUUCUGGGACACACGAAGGCGGACAAUGUUCUAUAUUCAUGAGAUCCCUAAAGCGCUGAACGACGAUGAUUUUGUUACAAGGGUGAGGCAGCAUGCGUGGCCACUACCAUGGGACACUGAGCACGGGGGACUCGUAAAAGCCAUGAACGACUAUCGGGAAGAAGUUGCGGUGCAGGUGCAGGAGUUCUGAAACAAUAUCAUUACAAUGGACAAGAUGCAGUUCACAAUGUACAGUGUAUGAGCGGCGCUUACACUCACAAAGACAAAAUAAAGGAUAAAAUUAAAGAUGAUCAAGGCAAGCCAAUGUCGGUGGAUGUGACUGUCCAGAAGGAGCAGCCAGAUUUGUGUCUUGUCCUACAUAGGUUGCUAGCAGGAGAAGCCUUCUAGAAGGCAAUGAAGAAUGUUUUUGCCCUCGUGACCUGAAAGCAAGGCGUUUUGCAAAGAGUAUAGACAGGUUGCUCCUCCUGUUCAGUCGAGGUGUCUUUUUGGAUCCAGAGAUGGCUGGCAAGUAGACAGACAAGGAGCGCGAAUGACCUUUUUAAAUUUUGUCGUCGUUACUUGUAUCAGUUCGUUUUUUUUUUUUGCAUGGACUGCUGUAAUGUUUUUCAGAAAUUUCUGGACCUAAUUGUCUGAUGCAAUGUUCCAUCAAAUUGAAAUCACGUUGAAGCUAUGCUGAGUUUGUUGACCUUAUAAACAUUUGGAGUACAGUCUCACACUGGCUGGAACGCUGAUUCAUUUUUUCUCUUCUUUUUUUCCUUUUGAGACUGAUGAAACCGAGUUGAGGCUGCAGGUGUCGACUGAAAAACCCACUUAAAUGGAAUACUUUCGUACUAGCAGGGGAUGGCGCGGCGUAGUUAAUUUGUUUCACGGGUGUGGUUGGCUUCUCGUGUGUUUUGGUUGUGUGUAAUAGUAUAGAUUGUUGUAGGUGUUGUUUGGCUGGGUGAGUUGUUUGUGUGAUGUGUACAUAGAAUUAGGGGGCUGCUAC